RNAcentral lists this transfer RNA (65 nucleotides) under Cavelerius excavatus. Its description in RNAcentral is "tRNA-Glu". RNAcentral also lists the same sequence under 1 other name. Lineage: Eukaryota; Metazoa; Arthropoda; Insecta; Hemiptera; Blissidae. The record is from RNAcentral.
ACUUAUAUAGUUUAACUUAAAACUAUUCAUUUUCAAUGAAAGAUUAGAAAUUAUUCUUAUAAGUU